This 468-nucleotide ribosomal RNA is filed under the name uncultured bacterium. Its description in RNAcentral is "partial 16S ribosomal RNA". It matches the Rfam family "Bacterial small subunit ribosomal RNA", at positions 28 to 507 of the family's 1533-position model. The record is from RNAcentral.
GACGAACGCUGGCGGCGUGCUUAACACAUGCAAGUCGAACGGAAAGGCCCUGCUUUUGUGGGGUGCUCGAGUGGCGAACGGGUGAGUAACACGUGAGUAACCUGCCCUUGACUUUGGGAUAACUUCAGGAAACUGGGGCUAAUACCGGAUAGGAGCUCCUGCUGCAUGGUGGGGGUUGGAAAGUUUCGGCGGUUGGGGAUGGACUCGCGGCUUAUCAGCUUGUUGGUGGGGUAGUGGCUUACCAAGGCUUUGACGGGUAGCCGGCCUGAGAGGGUGACCGGCCACCUUGGGACUGAGAUACGGCCCAGACUCCUACGGGAGGCAGCAGUGGGGAAUAUUGCAGAAUGGGCGGAAGCCUGAUGCAGCAACGCCGCGUGCGGGAUGACGGCCUUCGGGUUGUAAACCGCUUUCGCCUGUGACGAAGCGUGAGUGACGGUAAUGGGUAAAGAAGCACCGGCUAACUACGUG